Nicotiana attenuata is the source of this 1955-nucleotide long non-coding RNA. RefSeq lists it as uncharacterized. Lineage: Eukaryota; Viridiplantae; Streptophyta; Magnoliopsida; Solanales; Solanaceae. The record is from RefSeq and is a predicted model, not a curated record. The transcript is spliced from 3 exons.
UUGGAGGUAGGUGUCCUAGUUUUAAUUUUUUUUUAUUUUCUUUUGUUAUUAUCUUCUUCUACUCCUUUCUUUCAUUAGAAUGUUUAUUUGGUCAGUUUUGUUCUAUGAUUUUUUUAGUUUUUUUUAUUCUCGAAUUAAUAGAUUAUUUGUUGAUUUCAUUUGGUUUUUGUUUUGUUGAUCAGUAGUUUAAACUCGCAUAAUAGUAGUUCUUGAAUUGAUUCAUGCUAAUUUCGAUGAAAGAUUGAAAUUGUUUCAUUUUUUUUCCAGUAUUGAGAGCUAUUAGGCAGUCUGCUGGUAGAUUUUGUUUGUAUAAAGAUUGAAUAGCCUUAAAUGAUGUGAAUUGGGUUCAGCAUUGGUCCAUGAAUUUCAAAUUUAAAAGCAGAAACUUUAAGAUAACAGUGGGAAUUAUUUAAGUGUUUACCUACUUAGGAAGAUUCCAUAAUGGUAGGGUUUAGUAUUUGCACUACUGAACUAAUAAAAGAAAAAGGUACUAAGUAGUGAAUGAAUUAAAAAAUGAAAUGGGGACUGGUAAUGGCUGGCUUAAUGCCAUUUUAGGAGCUGGAAAUCAGAGAACAUGGGGGUGUGAUUAAAAGGCUAAAAAUACAGGUGUAAAAGGAUAUACAGUAUGGAAAAGGGAGGGACAAGAUUAAAAGAAGACAGAACCAAGAAUAUAGGCUGAAGUUUUUAAGAGUUGAGAGGAAGACAUAGAGGGAAUACACUAAAAAUACAGACAAGAGUCUAGGAAUAUACCUCUUAGAAAACACAAGAGACUGGAAGAUAACUUCAUAGAUAAAAUACCUUCAGAAGAUACAAAAGGCUACAAACUUCUUAUUUCUUUUAUUUUUCCGAUUUUCUCAAUCUCAAAUUGGCUGAAGCAAUCUCUGAAUCAUUGAGGAACUUGUUUUCUUUUGAAAAGUCUGGGUUGAAUUCUACAAUAGAGUUACUGUUUCAUUGGUUUAUGAGUUGAUUUCAUUGGGAUUUUGAGUUGAAUCUGGGCUGUUCUUUUGCUGUUGUUGAUUUGUGCGCUUAAUAUUGCUGAUUCCUCACUCUUCCCUUUGCCUUUUCAAUUCCAGGAAAUAUUCACAACCAUACAAACGUAAAGGGAUGAAAUACAACAGAGCAAACACAUGCUUAUUUUGACGCCCAUGAAGUGUUCGAAAAAAGAUUCUAUAGGUUGACCUUCCCCGUAGAAUCAUGAAAUGCUGCUAUUUACUCAACAAAUGCCGAUAUUACUCAGACCAACAAAAAGGCGUGAAAGAUUCAGAUUCAGCUUUCUCCAUUGGUAUUUGAGGUACACUUCAAAGAUUCUUAACUACUAUGAUCAUUUUCACGCAAUCGAUGCAGAGGGUGUAAAGAUUCUGAAAUACUACAAUUUUUACAAAAUUGAUAUCUAAGGGUGUCUGAUAUGGAAUGCAAAGAGCGUUGUUUUGCUGAUAUUUUAAUUAAUUGUGAACAAAGUUCGACAACAAUAUCCACAGAAGUUGAUCAUAAUAUAGUGAUAUGGAGUUUAGACUAUAUAAGUUUUCCUAUGCAGUGUUAGAUAUUGGUAUUGGAUAGUGCUUCAACUUAAGGGUGUUAAACGGCCCAGGUUGACCCGGUUCCAGACCGGCCCAGACCGGUAGAACUCGGAACCGGCCCGGACCGGUAAGAGGGGGCUGGGCUGGGCUGGAUAGGGGGGUUGGGGGGUUGGUCCGGUUUAGUUCUUUGAAACGGGUAGCCGGCCCGGUUGAACCCGGAAGAGUGAACAGUAACUCUUACCGGGUUAACCGGCCAGGUUCAAACGGCUACUUUUUUUUUGUUUUUUUUUAAUUUUCGAAAUCUGUGGGCCCCACAGACCGUUGGCAACGGUCAGACAUCCAUAUUGGUCCGUUGGCUAAUGGAAAUAUUGCAUAAAUAGCCCCCUUUUUUUUUUUUUAAUUUUUAGCCCUUUUUCAAUUUACAAAACUAACCUUCUC